RNAcentral lists this long non-coding RNA (777 nucleotides) under Homo sapiens (human). Its description in RNAcentral is "HSALNT0257124". Lineage: Eukaryota; Metazoa; Chordata; Mammalia; Primates; Hominidae. The record is from RNAcentral.
GAUCUCUCCACCAUGCACCUUGUGACCCCCUCCCCUGCUAACAAUAGAUAACUACUUUUAACUGUAACUUUCCACUGUCUACCCAAGCCCUAUAGAGCUGCCCCUCUCCUAUCUCCCUUUGCUGACUCUCUUUUCGGACUCAGCCCACUUGCACCCAAGUGAAUAAACAGCCUUGUUGCUCACACAAAGCCUGUUUGGUGGUCUCUUCACCUGGAUGUGCUUGACAUUUGGUGCCAUGACUCGGAUCAGGGGACCUCCCUUGGGAAAUGAAUCUCCUGUCCUCCUGCCUUUUGCUCCAUGAGAAAAUCCACCUACAAACUCGGGUCCUCAGACUGGCCCAAAAAACAUCUCACCAAUUUUAAAUCGGAUCUCCUUGGCAAGACUGAUGCUGCUCAAUCGUCUCAGAAGCCCCCCGGACCAUCAUGGAUGCCAAGCUUCAGGUAACUCUUACAGUGGAGGGUAAGUCCGUCCCCUUCUUAGUCAAUAUGGAGGCUACCCCCUCCACAUUACGUUCUUUUCAAGGGCCUGUUUCCCUUGCCUCCGUAACUAUUGUGGGUAUUGACAGCCAGGCUUCUAAACCUCUUUAAACUCCCCCACUCUAGUGCCAACUUGGACAACAUUCUUUUAUGUACUCUUUUUUAGUUAUCCCCACCUGCGCAGUUCCCUUAUUAGGCCAAGACAUUUUAACAAAAUUAUCCACUACCCUGACUAUUCCUGGAAUACAGCCGCAUCUCAUUGCUGCCCUUCUUCCCAACCCAAAGCCUGUUUUGCAUCCUC